Molecule: unclassified non-coding RNA, 574 nt
Filed under: uncultured Bradyrhizobium sp.
Lineage: Bacteria; Pseudomonadati; Pseudomonadota; Alphaproteobacteria; Hyphomicrobiales; Nitrobacteraceae
Description: partial 16S-23S ribosomal RNA intergenic spacer
Rfam family: Bacterial large subunit ribosomal RNA (bases 452-574)
Source: RNAcentral
CUCAGCUGGGAGAGCGCGUGCUUUGCAAGCAUGAGGUCGUCGGUUCGAUCCCGUCUGGCUCCACCAGAUGGUUUGAUCACCUGCGACUGACCGUCGUCCGCGAAACAUCACUUCGCAUUCACUAGUCUGGAUAGACAGUGAACUGCGUGUUUUCUGACAUCGUAAAGAGGAGAUCGAUCCGAGUUGGGUCGUGCAGCAGAUUGUUGCGCGGAUCCUUCAUUAUCUCCGGAUCAUUUUCGGCGCUCGCUUUCAGCCGUGAGGCUGAACGCGAGUUGUAAAAUGAUCCUUUUAGCGAAGCUUGACCGCCUCGCUAUCGGAACGAUCUUACGAAGCAAGCUGGUCUUUCUAGUCAAUGUCCGGCUGUGAGAAUAGCGCUCGUCGAGGGCGCGUGCCGCAAGGCGGUUCUUACAGGCAGCAUUCUGCCGAGUGUGUGGACAUUGAUAAUGAGAGCAAUCAAGUGCCUUAAGGGUGUUCGGUGGAUGCCUUGGCGCUGAGAGGCGAUGAAGGACGUGCUACGCUGCGAUAAGCCGUGGGGAGCUGCGAAGAAGCUUUGAUCCGCGGAUUUCCGAAUGGG